GACAAACGCUGGCGGCGUGCUUAACACAUGCAAGUCGAACGGUCUACUUUAGGGUAGAUAGUGGCGGACGGGUGAGUAACACGUAGUUGACCUGCCUUUUGGUGGGGAAUAACUCCUCGAAAGAGGAGCUAAUACCGCAUGAUCUCUCUGUUGUUGGACAGAGAGGAAACCUUCUUCUUGUGAAAGCAAGAGGUAGGGCCGAAAGAGGGGACUGCGGCGGAUUAGCUAGAUGGNGGGGUAAAAGCCUACCAUGGCGACGAUCCGUAGCUGGUCUGAGAGGACGACCAGCCACACUGGGACUGAGACACGGCCCAGACUCCUACGGGAGCAGCAGUGAGGAAUAUUCCCCAAUGGGCGAAAGCCUGAGGGAGCGACGCCGCGUGAGGGAAGAAGCCCUUUGGGGGUGUAAACCUCGUUUUAGGGGGAUGACACGCUCUUUGUGAAAGCAGAGAGAUACGACACGUACCCCUCGAAUAAGCCUCGGCUAACUACGUGCCAGCAGCCGCGGUAAG
Molecule: ribosomal RNA, 512 nt
Filed under: uncultured bacterium
Lineage: Bacteria
Description: bacterial SSU rRNA
Rfam family: Bacterial small subunit ribosomal RNA
Source: RNAcentral